UAUCGAAGAAGUUCUAGAGUCCUCUACUCACUAAACAACAAAUAACUGGCUACUCCUCCAUUUCGCUCCUCCACUCACUGAGAUCCGUAAUUUCAAAAAACUCCUGGAUAUGCAAGUCGUUAUCCUCUAACAACUCGAGCAUGCCUCCACAGCCCUCGAAAGGAAAAUAACAUGCGUCCUUCCAGACGACAGAUAUCUAUCUUUGCCUAC
Molecule: long non-coding RNA, 210 nt
Filed under: Elaeis guineensis (African oil palm)
Lineage: Eukaryota; Viridiplantae; Streptophyta; Magnoliopsida; Arecales; Arecaceae
Description: long non-coding RNA (EGUI_LNC040270)
Source: RNAcentral